Long non-coding RNA from Pelodiscus sinensis (Chinese soft-shelled turtle), 511 nucleotides. RefSeq lists it as uncharacterized. The record is from RefSeq and is a predicted model, not a curated record. Lineage: Eukaryota; Metazoa; Chordata; Testudines; Trionychidae.
GGUGAACCCUGCCUAGAGGAAUAUGCACUUCUGUGUUCCUCCCAGCGCAUAUCACGACCUGAUGGAGUUGGAGAGUGAAAAGUCAUCGAGUCCCUCGAUGAAGGGAGAGAUACAGAUUAACAUGGCCCAACUGCUGAUCCUGAACUCCCAUGGAAAGGUAUCUGAGGAGUUAGAGAGAAUACUACAACAAGUUUGGGCAACCAGUCAGCAGAAGGAGCACAAGUGAAUAUCAAAACCCUAUGCAUAGAGCUGUACUGCCUUCAUGCCCUCUGUGCAUGAUGCUUUUUUAUGUCAAUACAUGUAGUAACAAGGAUGAUCCAUGGUUUGUGUGCUUCUUAGAAUCAAAGAAAACAGCUACAUUUUCAAAACAGACUAGAAGGUAAGCCUGGAGAAAGAGGAAUAUUUUUGGACUGCAGUGAAGUUUCUAAAGAGAAUAAAAGAAAAACUUGAGAAGGAAAAAUUCAAAGUUUUAAAGCUACAAAAGAUAAAGUAGAGUCCCAUAAAGAUUUGA